AAUAGAAAGUAGAAAAGGGCGCAUGGCGGAUGCCUUGGCUCACGGAGGCGAUGAAGGACGUGAUAAGCUGCGAUAAGCAUUGGGUAGGUGCAAAUAACCUUUGAUCCAGUGAUUUCCGAAUGGGACAACCCGGCUGUCUGAAGGACAGUCAUUACCAUCUUUUUGGUAAGGCAAACGCAGGGAACUGAAACAUCUUAGUACCUGCAGGAAGAGAAAAUAAUUCAAUGAUUCCCCCAGUAGUGGCGAGCGACCGGGGAACAGCCCAAACCCAUCCCGUAGCAAUGCGGGUUGGGGGUAGUAGGACCGCGCUGUCGUACUUUGAUUGUGAGGAGAAGCUUCUGGAAAGAAGCAUCGUAGAGGGUGAUAAUCCCGUAUCCGUAGCAUGACGAGGCGUAGCGGUAUCCUGAGUAACGCGGAACACGUGAAAUUCUGCGCGAAUCUGCCGGGACCAUCCGGCAAGGCUAAAUACUCCCGUGAGACCGAUAGUGGACGAGUACCGUGAGGGAAAGGUGAAAAGCACCCCGCGAGGGGAGUGAAACAGUUCCUGAAACCAUGCGCCUACAAGCGGUCGGAGUCGCGCAAGCGGUGACGGCGUGCCUUUUGCAUAAUGAACCUACGAGUUACCAUGUCCGGCAAGGUUUAGCGGUUUAGCCGCGCAGCCUCAGUGAAAGCGAGCCUGAAUAGGGCGUUUGAGUCGGAUGGGGUAGACGCGAAACCAAGUGAUCUACACUUGCCCAGGUUGAAGUUCCGGUAACACGGAAUGGAGGACCGAACCAAUAAGCGUUGAAAAGCUUCUGGAUGAGGUGAGUGUAG
This 813-nucleotide ribosomal RNA is filed under the name Prevotella corporis. RNAcentral describes it as "partial 23S ribosomal RNA". It matches the Rfam family "Bacterial large subunit ribosomal RNA", at positions 1 to 818 of the family's 2925-position model. The record is from RNAcentral. Lineage: Bacteria; Pseudomonadati; Bacteroidota; Bacteroidia; Bacteroidales; Prevotellaceae.